GUGUCGUUUUUCGAAAUUUGUUAACUUAAUAUAAUAGAAGAUGUUUCGUUUUAAAUUAAGAAAUGUUAAAAUUAUUAAGCUAAAAACAUUUGAUUUUAAUGACACUUAAAAUUAGACACAAUAUUAAAGGUUACUAACUAAAAAUUAAAAAAACAACAAUAAAUAAUAAAAAAUAAUAAUAAAAAAUUGAAAAAAUCAAAAAAUUCUUAAAAAAUUGCAAAAUAACCCUUUUUUGGGUUAAAAUUGCAAAAUAACCCUUUUUCGGGUUAAAAUUGAAAAAUAACCCUUUUUCGGGUUAAAAUUGAAAAAAGAUGUUACAUAAAAAAAGUUUGUAAGAUUUUCUAACAGCAUAUAUGCAAAGUAUUUUGAUUUAUUUGAAAAUAAUUGAAAAUAGAUUUUUCAAGGACUGUGUCGAGGUCACGGGGUCGGUGUCGUUUUUCGAAAUUUGUUAACUUAAUAUAAUAGAAGAUGUUUCGUUUUAAAUUAAGAAAUGUUAAAAUUAUUAAGUUAAAAACAUUUGAUUUUAAUGACACUUAAAAUUAGACACAAUAUUAUAGGUUACUAACUAAAAAUUAAAAAAACAACAAUAAAUAAUAAAAAAUAAUAAUAAAAAAUUGAAAAAAUCAAAAAAUUCUUAAAAAAUUGCAAAAUAACCCUUUUUCGGGUUAAAAUUGAAAAAAGAUGUUACAUAAAAAUAGUUUGUAAGAUUUUCUAACAGCAUAUAUGCAAAGUAUUUUGAUUUAUUUGAAAAUAAUUGAAAAUAGAUUUUUCAAGGACGGUGUCGAGGUCACGGGGUCGGUGUCGUUUUUCGAAAUUUGUUAACUUAAUAUAAUAGAAGAUGUUUCGUUUUAAAUUAAGAAAUGUUAAAAUUAUUAAGCUAAAAACAUUUGAUUUUAAUGACACUUAAAAUUAGACACAAUAUUAAAGGUUACUAACUAAAAAUUAAAAAAACAACAAUAAAUAAUAAAAAAUAAUAAUAAAAAAUUGAAAAAAUCAAAAAAUUCUUAAAAAAUUGCAAAAUAACCCUUUUUUGGGUUAAAAUUGAAAAAUAACCCUUUUUCGGGUUAAAAUUGAAAAAAGAUGUUACAUAAAAAAAGUUUGUAAGAUUUUCUAACAGCAUAUAUGCAAAGUAUUUUGAUUUAUUUGAAAAUAAUUGAAAAUAGAUUUUUCAAGGACUGUGUCGAGGUCACGGGGUCGGUGUCGUUUUUCGAAAUUUGUUAACUUAAUAUAAUAGAAGAUGUUUCGUUUUAAAUUAAGAAAUGUUAAAAUUAUUAAGUUAAAAACAUUUGAUUUUAAUGACACUUAAAAUUAGACACAAUAUUAUAGGUUACUAACUAAAAAUUGAAAAAACAACAAUAAAUAAUAAAAAAUAAUAAUAAAAAAUUGAAAAAAUUAAAAAAUUCUAAAAAAAUUGCAAAAUAACCCUUUUUCGGGUUAAAAUUGCAAAAUAACCCUUUUUCGGGUUAAAAUUGAAAAAUAACCCUUUUUCGGGUUAAAAUUGAAAAAAGAUGUUACAUAAAAAAAGUUUGUAAGAUUUUCUAACACCAUAUAUGCAAAGUAUUUUGAUUUAUUUGAAAAUAAUUGAAAAUAGAUUUUUCAAGGACGGUGUCGAGGUCACGGGGUCGGUGUCGUUUUUCGAAAUUUGUUAACUUAAUAUAAUAGAAGAUGUUUCGUUUUAAAUUAAGAAAUGUUAAAAUUAUUAAGCUAAAAACAUUUGAUUUUAAUGACACUUAAAAUUAGACACAAUAUUAUAGGUUACUAACUAAAAAUUAAAAAAACAACAAUAAAUAAUAAAAAAUAAUAAUAAAAAAUUGAAAAAAUCAAAAAAUUCUUAAAAAAUUGCAAAAUAACCCUUUUUCGGGUUAAAAUUGAAAAAAGAUGUUACAUAAAAAAAGUUUGUAAGAUUUUCUAACAGCAUAUAUGCAAAGUAUUUUGAUUUAUUUGAAAAUAAUUGAAAAUAGAUUUUUCAAGGACGGUGUCGAGGUCACGGGGUCGGUGUCGUUUUUCGAAAUUUGUUAACUUAAUAUAAUAGAAGAUGUUUCGUUUUAAAUUAAGAAAUGUUAAAAUUAUUAAGCUAAAAACAUUUGAUUUUAAUGACACUUAAAAUUAGACACAAUAUUAUAGGUUACUAACUAAAAAUUGAAAAAACAACAAUAAAUAAUAAAAAAUAAUAAUAAAAAAUUGAAAAAAUCAAAAAAUUCUAAAAAAAUUGCAAAAUAACCCUUUUUCGGGUUAAAAUUGAAAAAAGAUGUUACAUAAAAAAAGUUUGUAAGAUUUUCUAACAGCAUAUAUGCAAAGUAUUUUGAUUUAUUUGAAAAUAAUUGAAAAUAGAUUUUUCAAGGACGGUGUCGAGGUCACGGGGUCGGUGUCGUUUUUCGAAAUUUGUUAACUUAAUAUAAUAGAAGAUGUUUCGUUUUAAAUUAAGAAAUGUUAAAAUUAUUAAGCUAAAAAUAUUUGAUUUUAAUGACACUUAA
Long non-coding RNA from Leptopilina boulardi, 2474 nucleotides. RefSeq lists it as uncharacterized. The transcript is spliced from 5 exons. Lineage: Eukaryota; Metazoa; Arthropoda; Insecta; Hymenoptera; Figitidae. The record is from RefSeq and is a predicted model, not a curated record.